CACGCUGUAAACAAUGGAUGCUAGGUGUUUGGUAUGACCACUUUCUAUCUUCGGAUUCUAAGUGGAAGUAUUAAGUGCCGCAGCUAACGCGUUAAGCAUCCCGCCUGGGAAGUACGGCCGCAAGGCUAAAACUCAAAUGAAUUGGCGGGGACCCGCACAAGCGGAGUAGCGCGUGGUUUAAUUCGAUGGCAAUCGAACAACCUUACCAGGGUUUGACAUGUAUCUGCAUAUCUUUGGAAACAUAGAUAGCCUUCGAGGGUUAUACACAGGUAC
This 273-nucleotide ribosomal RNA is filed under the name uncultured bacterium. Its description in RNAcentral is "partial 16S ribosomal RNA". It matches the Rfam family "Bacterial small subunit ribosomal RNA", at positions 796 to 1041 of the family's 1533-position model. The record is from RNAcentral.